Molecule: long non-coding RNA, 1528 nt
Filed under: Oryctolagus cuniculus (rabbit)
Lineage: Eukaryota; Metazoa; Chordata; Mammalia; Lagomorpha; Leporidae
Description: lncRNA (ENSOCUG00000031484.1)
Source: RNAcentral
UGUCACUUUAAAUUUCAGCUGUUUUGUUUGUCUUUCUUUACAUUUAUGAUUUGUAUUAUUAUUUUCUUAUGUUUGAGAGCCUUCAGCAGUUCUAAACCAUCUAAUUUGGUACCAGUGGGAACCAAAGAGAAAUCUAAAAGAUGUUAGUAAAGAAAGAAAGAGUAACAAAUGCAGAUAAUAAAAUGAUGAAGGAUUAGAAAAUGGAGAAGUAAUAAAAUAAGGAGGAGAAACAGGAAGAAAAGUAGGAGAAACACAUAGGAAGCAACAGUGAGAUUGACCAAGAUUUAGAGUUUGUUCAAUAUUAUCUAUUCUACCUGAACUGCAAAACAAGAAAAGCCCUCCUAUUGAAGGAUUCUGGGUUACUGAUAAUUACCGAAAUGAUAUGCAAUAAUAUUAGGUCUUUUAUGCAAGCAAAGAAAUGUAGUAUGCAAGGAUAAUGACUGGGAAUAUUUGAUGAAGACUAUAAUGAGGAUGAAACAACACUUGAGAUCUAGAAGAAGUGUAUGAAUAUGAUGGAUUUAAAUAUUAUAGGAAAGGAGAAAUUUCCAGGAAGAAAAAAACAGAUCUUAAGUUUCCAAUAACUGGAAGGAGUUUAACACACUUGAUUGUUACAGGAAGUGUUUCUGUGAGGAAAACCCAAUAGAAUGAUGUCUGAUGGAUGAGCAAUUAAGAGCCUUUACCCUGAGCUUGUCACGUUCUGCUAGGCCUGCAUAGAAACCUCCCAUCCACCCAAGAUCCAACAAGUAAAGCUAUGAUGCCUGGCAGAGCAUGAGGACUCCAGCUGGCUUCUCUUCUGGGAGUAUCGUGCCCGUGUACAUUAGCUCUUACAAAUCCAAAUUUGGAUGGGAUGUGGAGAAAAAUGAGAGGCUAACAAGAAAGACAGCCAGCAGAAAAAUUGAUAACUGACUGAUGCUCAAAUAGUGAUUCUGUUUUUGUGUCUCUGGGUUCCUAAGGAGUUCUUCCCCUGAAGAUCUUCAAGUGCAAACCUUUGGCACAGGUGAGUGUUCUAGUUCUCUGCUUAUACUCAGCCUUCACUGUGCCUUCUGCUGGAUCCUUCUUGAUUUGCACACCAUUUUUCAUGAGGGAGGCAUCUGAUCCUGAGUGUACCAUGUUCAUAAGGAGGAACGUCCCCUUUCCUACUUCCAACAGGAAUUAAAAAAGCACAUAAAUCCACUAGGCAGAUUUUAUUGUAAUUCGUUUUCAGAUUUCACAGGAUUUAUAGAGUUGAUAAUCAAAGUAAGUCCCUUCUAAUGACACCUAAAAUUACAUCUUCUAUCUCUUGUUCCCAAUCAUACCUUACAUUUCCAGUGGAGUCACUGAGAACAAUAGGAUAGAAAUUAUAUUUUAAUUGUGUGCUUUACUUUUAUAAAAUUGAAUUAAAGGUGAACACUUUAUCAUCAGAGAUAAUGACAACUAAUAUUAAUUAAUUGGCUACUUUAUGCUAGGCAAUGAGUUAAGUGAUUUACUUUUGUUACUUAUAAUAUCACAAGAACAAUUUGAGGUGGUUAUAAUAUUCUGAAUUCUGUAG